Long non-coding RNA from Panthera uncia (snow leopard), 537 nucleotides. RefSeq lists it as uncharacterized. The transcript is spliced from 2 exons. Lineage: Eukaryota; Metazoa; Chordata; Mammalia; Carnivora; Felidae. The record is from RefSeq and is a predicted model, not a curated record.
CGAGCAGCGAGGGAGGCCGUUCUGACACCAAGGUGCCCACGCCUGUGAGGUAGCUCUCCUGGGACAGGCAGGGAAGGAGGUCCUGAAGAUGGCUAAAGUUGGCAAGAUGAAAACCAGGCGGUAUGGCAGAAAGUUCCAGAAGUCAGAAGAGUACAUUGUGACAUCACAUCCGAGAGCUGAUCAAAAAAAGCGUUUGUGCGUCCAUUCUGAGCACAUUCAUUUCUAUCUUGGCGCAGACCUUAAGGGCGGUGUUCGAGGCCAUUGUUCAGUAUAUGCUCCUCUUGCACUGUUGGGAGGGGUUGCCUAAUAAUAGCUGAAGAAAUGCCAAAUAUUUUAAACUCUACCUUCUCGCCUGUACGCAACGAAAUUUUCUUGUUCCUCACAGUUACAUCUGACGGAGACAGUAAUUCAUUCCAGAUGUCCGAGUCAAAACAGAUAUUUCUUAGGGCUCACGAAUGAGACGAAGGGGGUACAGAAGAAAGGUGAAUUUCCAUAUGCUUUUUUAAAAAUACAUUUAUAAUUGAACAGACCUUGAAA